This 1044-nucleotide long non-coding RNA is filed under the name Oryctolagus cuniculus (rabbit). RNAcentral's name for it is "lncRNA (ENSOCUG00000034231.1)". Lineage: Eukaryota; Metazoa; Chordata; Mammalia; Lagomorpha; Leporidae. The record is from RNAcentral.
AUGCAUGGGAAACCCAGGUCUGCGGAAGCCGGCCUCUUGCCAAACUCUCUCUCAGUGGGGUCUGCCUCAGUUUCCCACAUCCUCCUCCUCCAAGCUUCCACCCCCUCAGCCUCUGCCGACCGUGCCUGGCCCAGGGCCCCUGGGCCUUUUUGGGCCCUGGCCCGGACGCACACCUGCCUGGAGGCCUCUCUCGCAGCCCAGGAUGCCUGGCUUCCCGGUCAGCACCACACAGCCUCAUGGAUCACGCGGCUGCCGGCGAGGCUUCGGGACGUGGACACUUUGUACCUCCACCCCCCGGACUUGUGCAAGUAUGCUGGACAAGACCAUUUCCUACGAGCGGGAACGCUGGGUCAAAGGUUACGUAAUCUCAGACAGAUGUUACCAAGACGCGCUCCAAAACCUGCGCUGACGCACGCCCCGGGGGCGGCGGGGGAACCGUGCUCCCACGUGCUGCGGGUGACGUCCCUGUCUCUGCUCCGGUUCUGCCAGCGCCUGGUGGGCCUGUGGGAGAGGGCUCGGGACUGCACACCCUCGCUGUACCGGCUCAUAGACACACACUAUUUUUGGCCCGUCUGCGGGUGCUGGGAUGCCCCCCGCUGGCGCCCCGAAACUCCCACUCCCUCUUCCCAACAGCUGUCAAGCCGGUUGCUUGGGGACCCGCACAGGUCCACGGUGGCCUCUGGGAGACCUGCCCUCCCAGACUCCCUGCCCCCGCGCCCAGUCUCCCGGCCACAGGCGCUGUCGCCCCCCUCCCCGGCCCCUCCAGACAACCUGUGGCCUCUGCCUUGCCGGAGACCCAAGUCCUCCCCUUCCUUCUGGUCCUUCUGCCACCCAGCCCAGACAGCACCUGCCAGGUGCGCUCAAACAGCACCCCCACGAGGGCCUCUGGUCCCCUCAGGCUCAACCUCCCACACCCCCCAGGGGCCCGGGGAAGACACCCUCCCUGGAAUUUCUCCUGCUGCGCUGAGUGCCUGGUGGCCUGGGGAAGGCCUGUCCCCGUGGGGCCCGAGUUCCGGGGGCCCAGCAGGCCAAUGGGUGAAAUGA